Non-coding RNA from Cyanistes caeruleus (blue tit), 389 nucleotides. The record is from RefSeq and is a predicted model, not a curated record. Lineage: Eukaryota; Metazoa; Chordata; Aves; Passeriformes; Paridae.
CGNGCUCCUGCUCCCGCUCCGCCCCCGGCCUGGCCCGGCCCCGCUCCCGCUCCUUCCCGAGGCCUCGGGCGCGGCGGGCCCUGCCCGGCCUGAGGCCGCCUCGGAGGCGGGGCCAGGCGGAGACUGCUGCCGUGGUGUUUACCAGAGGGUGGACCCGUCUUAAGGCAUCCUUAAUAUAAAGAGAGAACUGCAGAGAAGAACUGCAUAUUUGAAUGGACUAUUAACACAAGAACAACACUUGACAACUGGCCACUUCACCCUUGCCCUGAACUUCCUGUGCAGAGCUUACCAUGAUUGAUUUUACAGGACUCAUUGGAAGUCCUGAUUUUGCUUCUGUUAUCUCUAUGGGCAGUCCUGUUCUUUUCCACCUUUAUGGGAAAAAAACGGCU